GCUCACCAAGGCAAUGACGGGUAGCGGGUUUGAGAGGAUGAUCCGCCACACUGGUACUGAGACACGGACCAGACUCCUACGGGAGGCAGCAGUGAGGAAUAUUGCACAAUGGGGGAAACCCUGAUGCAGCAACGCCGCGUGGAGGAUGACGCAUUUCGGUGUGUAAACUCCUUUUAUUAGGGAAGAAAAUGACGGUACCUAAUGAAUAAGCACCGGCUAACUCCGUGCCAGCAGCCGCGGUAAUACGGAGGGUGCAAGCGUUACUCGGAAUCACUGGGCGUAAAGGAUGCGUAGGCGGUGCGGUAAGUCUUCUGUGAAAUCUCCGGGCUCAACUCGGAGUCUGCAGGAGAAACUGCCGUGCUUGAGUAUGGGAGAGGUGAAGUGGGAAUUCCUGGUGUAGCGGUGAAAUGCGUAGAUAUCAGGAGGAACACCUGUGGCGAAAGCGGCUCACUGGACCAUAACUGACGCUGAGGCACGAAAGCUAGGGGAGCAAACAGGAUUAGAUACCCUGGUAGUCCUAGCCCUAAACGAUGAUUGCUUGGUGUAGCAGUACCCAAUCCUGCUGUGCCGCAGCUAACGCGUUAAGCAAUCCGCCUGGGGAGUACGGUCGCAAGGCUGA
This 619-nucleotide ribosomal RNA is filed under the name uncultured bacterium. RNAcentral's name for it is "bacterial SSU rRNA". It matches the Rfam family "Bacterial small subunit ribosomal RNA", at positions 263 to 897 of the family's 1533-position model. The record is from RNAcentral.